This 628-nucleotide ribosomal RNA is filed under the name uncultured bacterium. RNAcentral's name for it is "bacterial SSU rRNA". It matches the Rfam family "Bacterial small subunit ribosomal RNA", at positions 56 to 731 of the family's 1533-position model. The record is from RNAcentral.
UGCAGUCGAGCGCACCCUUCGGGGCGAGCGGCGGACGGGUUAGUAACGCGUGGGAACAUACCCUUUUCUAUGGAAUAGCCUUUGGAAACGAAGAGUAAUACCAUAUACGCCCUUCGGGGGAAAGAUUUAUCGGAGAAGGAUUGGCCCGCGUAAGAUUAGAUAGUUGGUGGGGUAAUGGCCUACCAAGUCUACGAUCUUUAGCUGGUUUUAGAGGAUGAUCAGCAACACUGGGACUGAGACACGGCCCAGACUCCUACGGGAGGCAGCAGUGGGGAAUCUUGGACAAUGGGGGCAACCCUGAUCCAGCCAUGCCGCGUGAGUGAUGAAGGCCUUAGGGUCGUAAAGCUCUUUCGCCUGUGAAGAUAAUGACUGUAGCAGGUAAAGAAACCCCGGCUAACUCCGUGCCAGCAGCCGCGGUAAUACGGAGGGGGUUAGCGUUGUUCGGAAUUACUGGGCGUAAAGCGCGCGUAGGCGGACUGGAAAGUUGGGGGUGAAAUCCCAGGGCUCAACCCUGGAACUGCCUCCAAAACUAUCAGUCUAGAGUUCGAGAGAGGUGAGUGGAAUUCCGAGUGUAGAGGUGAAAUUCGUAGAUAUUCGGAGGAACACCAGUGGCGAAGGCGGCUCACUG